RNAcentral lists this ribosomal RNA (443 nucleotides) under uncultured bacterium. RNAcentral describes it as "partial 16S ribosomal RNA". It matches the Rfam family "Bacterial small subunit ribosomal RNA", at positions 338 to 795 of the family's 1533-position model. The record is from RNAcentral.
CCUACUGGAGGCAGCAGUGGGGAAUAUUGGGCAAUGGGCGCAAGCCUGACCCAGCAACGCCGCGUGAAGGAAGAAGGCUUUCGGGUUGUAAACUUCUUUUCUGAGGGACGAAGAAAGUGACGGUACCUCAGGAAUAAGCCACGGCUAACUACGUGCCAGCCGCCGCGGUAAUACGUAGGUGGCAAGCGUUAUCCGGAUUUAUUGGGUGUAAAGGGCGUGUAGGCGGGAAAGCAAGUCAGAUGUGAAAACCAAGGGCUCAACCCUGAGCCUGCAUUUGAAACUGUUUUUCUUGAGUGCUGGAGAGGCAAUCGGAAGUCCGGGUGUAGCGGUGAAAGGCGUAGAUAUACGGAGGAACACCAGUGGCGAAGGCGGAUUGCUGGACAGUAACUGACGCUGAGGCGCGAAAGCGUGGGGAGCAAACAGGAUUAGAUACCCGAGUAGUC